RNAcentral lists this non-coding RNA (29 nucleotides) under Mus musculus (house mouse). Lineage: Eukaryota; Metazoa; Chordata; Mammalia; Rodentia; Muridae. The record is from RNAcentral.
UAGAGUCAAAUGCCUAUUGCUGGUUUAAA